This 240-nucleotide ribosomal RNA is filed under the name uncultured bacterium. RNAcentral's name for it is "partial 16S ribosomal RNA". It matches the Rfam family "Bacterial small subunit ribosomal RNA", at positions 94 to 334 of the family's 1533-position model. The record is from RNAcentral.
AGCGGCGGACGGGUGAGUAACGCGUGGGUAACUGCCUCAUACAGGGGGAUAACAGUUGGAAACGGCUGCUAAUACCGCAUAAGCGCACAGUACCGCAUGGUACGGUGUGAAAAACUACCGGUGGUAUGAGAUGGACCCGCGUCUGAUUAGCUAGUUGGUGGGGUAACGGCCUACCAAGGCGACGAUCAGUAGCCGACCUGAGAGGGUGACCGGCCACAUUGGGACUGAGACACGGCCCAA